UCCGCCUAUAUUUGAAGAACGUUCAACUGAUCACCGACCUAUUCAUCCUUGGCACUUCACGUAUGAAACAUAUCAUCACGACGCUAUUAAAGCUUUUGGUAAUACUGGCACUCUAGUUUUGAGUGAUUUGACUUUGGAAACCAGACCGUGCUUUAAAA
This is a long non-coding RNA of Limulus polyphemus (Atlantic horseshoe crab), 158 nucleotides long. RefSeq lists it as uncharacterized. The record is from RefSeq and is a predicted model, not a curated record. The transcript has 2 exons. NCBI's taxonomy places the organism in Eukaryota, Metazoa, Arthropoda, Merostomata, Xiphosura, Limulidae.